RNAcentral lists this ribosomal RNA (253 nucleotides) under uncultured bacterium. RNAcentral's name for it is "partial 16S ribosomal RNA". It matches the Rfam family "Bacterial small subunit ribosomal RNA", at positions 524 to 776 of the family's 1533-position model. The record is from RNAcentral.
UACGGAAGGGGCUAGCGUUGUUCGGAAUUACUGGGCGUAAAGAGCGCGUAGGCGGCUUACCAAGUUGGGGGUGAAAUCCCGGAGCUCAACUCCGGAACUGCCUUCAAAACUGGUAGGCUCGAGUCCGGAAGAGGGGCGUGGAAUUCCCAGUGUAGAGGUGAAAUUCGUAGAUAUUGGGAAGAACACCGGUGGCGAAGGCGGCGCCCUGGUCCGGUACUGACGCUGAGGCGCGAAAGCCAGGGGAGCAAACGGG